CAGAAGUUAGUUAAAAUUAUAACAUGAAUUUGUCGUAUUUAAAUCAUCUUUCUAGAUACUUCUUA
Molecule: transfer RNA, 65 nt
Filed under: Longpotamon parvum
Lineage: Eukaryota; Metazoa; Arthropoda; Malacostraca; Decapoda; Potamidae
Description: tRNA-Asp
Source: RNAcentral